UUAUAAAUUUGAUUAUUAUUAUUAUUUUUUUAAAGUAUUAUUUUAUUUAUUAUUUAAGUAGAAAAAUUAUUUUUUAUUAUAGUUUAUUAUUAAAGUGAUUGAAUUUUUUUUAUAUUUUAAAAAGGAAAAUUUAUUUUUUGUACCUUGUGUAUCAGGGUUAAUAAAUUAAAUAUUUUUUAUUAAAUUUUCUCGAAUUAAAAAGAUCUAAUUAAUUAUAUGUUUAAUUUUUUUAUAAAUUUUCAUAAUUUUUAAUUUGAAAUGAAAUGUUAUUCGUUUUUUAGUAUAUCUGGUUUUUUAAGAAAAGAAUUUAAUUCUCUUAUUAUUUAUUUAUUUUCUUAUUUUUAGUUAAUAUUUUUUAGUAUGAAAUAUUUGAGGGGAUGAGCUUUUAAUUAUAUUAUUAAAAAUUUUUAUUUUUUAUUAUUUUGUAUAAUUUAUAUUGUUAAUCAUAUUAAUAAUUUAAUAUUUAAUUUAUUUUUAUUUAUUAUUUAUAUUUAUUUUAAUUUUUAUAUUAAAAAAUUUUGUUUAAUAUUUUUUCUUAGGUUAUAAUGAUUAAAUUAGUAUAUAAUUUUUUAAUUGUCUUUAUUUUUUUAGGUAAUAAAAAGGAACUCGGCAAAUUAAUUUUUCGCUUGUUUAUUAAAAACAUGUCUUUUUGAUUAUAAUUUAAGGUUUAAUCUGCUCAAUGAUUAUUUAAAUUGCCGCAGUAUUUUGACUGUGCAAAGGUAGCAUAAUAAUUAGCUUUUUUAUUGAUAGCUGGAAUGAAUGAUUGGACGAAAGAAUUUCUGUCUCUUUAUUAAUUUUUAUUUAAUUUUACUUUUAAGUUAAAAGGCUUAAAUUUUAUUAAAAGACGAGAAGACCCUAUAGAGUUUAAUUUAUUUAUAUAUAUCUUUUUUUAGAAUUUUUGAAAUUUAUUUUAUAGUAAAUUUAGUUGGGGUGAUUUAAAGAUUAAUUAAACUCUUUUAAUUUUUAUCAAUUAUAUUUGAAUAUUAAAUCUAUAUUUUUAAGUUUAAAAUAAAUUACCUUAGGGAUAACAGCGUAAUUUUUUUUAAAAGUUCAUAUUAAAAGAAAAGUUUGCGACCUCGAUGUUGGAUUAAAAUUUAUUUUAGGUGUAGAAGCUUGAAUAUUAAGUCUGUUCGACUUUUAAAAUUUUACAUGAUCUGAGUUUAAACCGGUGUAAGCCAGGUUGGUUUCUAUCUUUAAUUUAUUAAUUUAUUUUAGUACGAAAGGACCAGAUAUAUAAUAUAAUAUUUUAUUUUGAACAUUAUU
RNAcentral lists this ribosomal RNA (1263 nucleotides) under Luciola curtithorax. RNAcentral's name for it is "16S ribosomal RNA". The stretch from base 1024 to 1182 matches the Rfam family "Archaeal large subunit ribosomal RNA", at positions 2544 to 2703 of the family's 2987-position model. Lineage: Eukaryota; Metazoa; Arthropoda; Insecta; Coleoptera; Lampyridae. The record is from RNAcentral.